Pteropus alecto (black flying fox) is the source of this 3456-nucleotide long non-coding RNA. RefSeq lists it as uncharacterized. The record is from RefSeq and is a predicted model, not a curated record. Lineage: Eukaryota; Metazoa; Chordata; Mammalia; Chiroptera; Pteropodidae. The transcript is spliced from 3 exons.
CGUAGCGGUCUGCGCGGUGCGGCAGCGGGAAACUGGCAGUGCCUCAGGAUCCAUGCAAGCCGCCCGGGGAGGCCCCGAUCGCAAGAAAGGAAACCCCCACGGCAAGAAGUGGUGACCGGAACGCGUGAUCUAAAGAACGUGACACAAACCAGUACUCACGAUUUAACUUCUGGAGAGGUGUUGGUACCCUGACUCGGAUCGCUAAGGUGCUAAGGUUGCUCAUCGAUAUGGGGGAACAUCUUCCAUUCCACCUGAGUUCCUGCUGGGAUACAUCUUAAUUGGAGUAGAUAUAAACUAGGUGACAUAAGGAAAAAAAGAUUAAUAUUUUGUAACAUAUAUGGCCCCAAUAUAAAUUAGGAAACAGAGGAAAAUGAGGAAAUGUAAGCCUAAGUUAUAUCGUUUUACAACUAGAUUUAUUCUGCAGAAGACAGGGAAAAUGGUCUGAAAUCCCCUACAUGCAGGCCUUUAUGAUUCUAUACCAAAAAUCUUGCUCUCUAUAGUCCCCGCACCCAGAAACCAGGGGCAAGGGAGAGCCCUCCUGAUAUUCUGGAUGCUUCCCUUCUCAACAACCCACUGUCUGUCAGGGGGGACCUCAGAUACCCCCCCCCAAUCUGGAGGCAGGGCCCCCCUUCCCUCAUCUAUUCCUGACAGUCCCAAUUCAGAACCAGGGCCAAUAAAUAGGCCCUCUGCCUUAUACUCCCAUUUAUCUAAGCCUUUCUGGAAACGUAGAAGUCAGCCCUGCAGGAGUCACCCAUAGUGAGACUUCCUAUCAUCCUGCACCCCAAAAAAUACUACCCUUGUGGGAGGUAGCUGAUGGAAAAGGGAUUAUUUGAGUCCACGUCCGUCUCUUGAGGGACUUAGUUCAAUGUAAGGAAAGGCUUGGAUAGUCCUCUGCAGACUCCUCCUGAUUCAGUGAUAAUUUGCAAGCACAGACUUUUUGGCCUUUGACCUAACUCGGAGAGAGAUUUAUAUUGUAAUUACUACUUGCUGCACUCCCGAAGAAACACAAUCUGGGAGGCAGCUCAACAGCAUGGAGAUCAAAUGUCAGUUGAUCAACCGGACACCUAUGUUGGAGGAGCCCAAGCGGUCCCUAACCAGGACCCAAAUUAUAGAAUUGGGAAAUCAGAGAAGGGACCAUAUGGUUUUGUGCCUCUUAGGAGGAAUGAGAAAAUGCAUUAAAAAGCCUAUUAACUAUGAAAAGUUAAAAGGAAUAACUCAGGAAAGAUGAAAACCUAGCCCUUUUCCACGGGUGACUUAUAGAGGCCUAUAGAAAAUAUACCAACCUAGAUCCUUCUAUCCCUGAGGGCCAGUCUUUUAAUGGGCCAACAUUUUAUUAAUCGGUCAGCCCCUGAUUGUCAGGAAAAACUCCAGAAGUUUUAGGAUCUCAAACGCCAAUGGCAUAACUACUGGACAUCGCCUUCUUUAAAAACUGUGACCAAAAUUAAGAGGAAAAGCUCCAGCAUGAGAAAAGACAGAAUAGGGCCCAGGCUAAAUUAAUAGCCCUGGCUGUCAGCAGUACAGUUGGAAAUAUCCUGCCACCUCAGGGCCACUCAGAGGGACCAAGAAGACCCCACACUACAGGUAAUCAAGGUAAUGGAACCUGCUUCAAAUGCAAGCUGCCCCCAGGGCCAUGUCCUCUCUACAAAGAUACAGGCCAUUGGAAUGAAGACUGCCCCCAGUCUGAGUAUGGAAGCAAUCUGCCUCAACAAUGGCUACACUAGAGGAUUGAAGAGGCCUGGGGAUACCAAUGGCCCUAAAACCCACCAAUGACCUCAUCACCACCAAAGAACCCUGGGUGACCCUAGACAUGGCAGAAGGAUUCGAAGGAGCACACUUGAAGAUUUGGCGAGGAUCUUCUACCUUCCCUGAAAAGCCGCCCUCAGGCCCAAAUACCUACCGACCACGGUGGGCUCCAGGUCCACAAACACUGCUCUGGGCACAUGCUUGCCAGCCCCAGUCUCGCUGAAGAAUGUAUGGAAUGAGUCGUCCCCACCGCCGAUGGUUUUGUCACUUGGCAUUUGCCCAUCAGGCUGAAUUCCAUGUUCAAGGCAGUACAAUUCCCAGCAGGCAUUGCCGAUCUGGACGCCGGCCUGUCCCACGUGGAUAGAAAUGCACUCUCGCUGGGAACCAGAACAUAAAUGUGAGACUCAGUUCAUCUUCAAGGUAACUGUCACUAUAUGGCAUGCAAGUGAGACCUGACACUAUAAAUUAAUGACAAGGAUACGUUGAGAAAUGCAUCAUUAGCUGAUUUCGUCAUUGUGUGAGCAUCACAGAGUGCACUCAUACAAACCUAGAUGGUCUAGCUUACUACACAUCUAGGCUGUAUGAUACAGGUAUGCCUCUGCAGGUAAUUGUAACACAAUGGAACAUAUUUGUGUAGCCUAGAAAAGGUACAGUGAAAAUACAGUAUAAAAGAUAAAAAACUGUACAUGCGUACAGGGCACUUACCCUGAACGGAGCUUACAGGACUGGAAGUUGCUCUGAGUAAGUCGGUGAGCGAGUGUGAAGGCCUAGGACAUGACUGUGCACUACUAUAGGCUUUAUAAACACUGUCCCACAGGCCCUCCCCCUGCUUCCUUCUGACAGAGUCAGAAAAACAAUGAAGCUGUCAAUGCUCCUCUAUGUUCAAGGAUUGUGGGGAAGAGUGAUCAGAAAUAUUUGGGAGAAACUGGCUGGGUAAGGCAUAGAUUACCACAAUAGUGACUGUCAGGAGAGAGUGAAAAGUGGCCUGAGGAUCAGGGAAUAAGAAAUUAAGAUGGAGAGAUAAUACCAGUAAUAAGGUAUUAUUGCAUGUUUGGAGCUGUGAUUAGAUUAAGGAACUUGGCAGUAUUCAUUUAAAAAAAAAUGUUUAAUAUGGGGAGGAGGUAGAAAUGAGGAUUCAAUAUUUUGAAUUUGGAAAUUUAUUCUUUGUUCCACUGACCCUAUCUGGCAUAAAAAGCUCCCUCUGGCAUUGAAUUGAUGGAAAAAAUAAAACUUAUCUGUGCUUUACAUGAUUACAAUCUGAAAACAUUUCCAAAGUACAGAUACACUACCACAGAAAACUUUUAUUAAAGUGGCAAUGGCACUUCUUAAGAUAGCUCCUAUGAACCUGUAUCUGCACAGGAUCUUAGGUGGAUAGAAAUGCACUCUUGCUAGGAAACAAUAUAAUUAUGAGACCUACUCGUCUUUAGGUAAUGAUCACUAUAUGGCACACAAAAUAUAAUUUAAUAUAUGUACGUGUUUCAGAAUGCUAAGGCUUUCUCAAACCUUAUUUCCCACAAGGUUUAUGUGACCCUCUUAGCUACCAGGUAUCAAAGUUAGUCUUGGUACCUAAGUGUUUCCUGCUAUACAAAAAUUACGUUAUUUUAAAACUUGGAAGCUGUAGGUCAAUAGCAAAACUCCAUGUUACAGCUAGUCAUAGCAAUUCUAUAAAUAGCAGUUUUUGAUUGUGUCCUGAUUAAAGGAUGAGAUAAAGAA